RNAcentral lists this ribosomal RNA (1246 nucleotides) under 'Pennisetum purpureum' white leaf phytoplasma. RNAcentral's name for it is "bacterial SSU rRNA". It matches the Rfam family "Bacterial small subunit ribosomal RNA", at positions 153 to 1399 of the family's 1533-position model. Lineage: Bacteria; Bacillati; Mycoplasmatota; Mollicutes; Acholeplasmatales; Acholeplasmataceae. The record is from RNAcentral.
GAAACGACUGCUAAGACUGGAUAGGAGACAAGAAGGCAUCUUCUUGUUUUUAAAAGACCUAGCAAUAGGUAUGCUUAGGGAGGAGCUUGCGUCACAUUAGUUAGUUGGUGGGGUAAAGGCCUACCAAGACUAUGAUGUGUAGCCGGGCUGAGAGGUUGAACGGCCACAUUGGGACUGAGACACGGCCCAAACUCCUACGGGAGGCAGCAGUAGGGAAUUUUCGGCAAUGGAGGAAACUCUGACCGAGCAACGCCGCGUGAACGAUGAAGUAUUUCGGUACGUAAAGUUCUUUUAUUAGGGAAGAAUAAAUGAUGGAAAAAUCAUUCUGACGGUACCUAAUGAAUAAGCCCCGGCUAACUAUGUGCCAGCAGCCGCGGUAAUACAUAGGGGGCAAGCGUUAUCCGGAAUUAUUGGGCGUAAAGGGUGCGUAGGCGGUUAAAUAAGUUUAUGGUCUAAGUGCAAUGCUCAACAUUGUGAUGCUAUAAAAACUGUUUAGCUAGAGUAAGAUAGAGGCAAGUGGAAUUCCAUGUGUAGUGGUAAAAUGCGUAAAUAUAUGGAGGAACACCAGUAGCGAAGGCGGCUUGCUGGGUCUUUACUGACGCUGAGGCACGAAAGCGUGGGGAGCAAACAGGAUUAGAUACCCUGGUAGUCCACGCCGUAAACGAUGAGCACUAAACGUUGGGUAAAACCAGUGUUGAAGUUAACACAUUAAGUACUCCGCCUGAGUGGUACGUACGCAAGUAUGAAACUUAAAGGAAUUGACGGGACUCCGCACAAGCGGUGGAUCAUGUUGUUUAAUUCGAAGGUACCCGAAAAACCUUACCAGGUCUUGACAUGCUUCUGCAAAGCUGUAGAAACACAGUGGAGGUUAUCAGUUGCACAGGUGGUGCAUGGUUGUCGUCAGCUCGUGUCGUGAGAUGUUGGGUUAAGUCCCGCAACGAGCGCAACCCUUAUUGUUAGUUACCAGCACGUAAUGGUGGGGACUUUAGCAAGACUGCCAGUGAUAAAUUGGAGGAAGGUGGGGACGACGUCAAAUCAUCAUGCCCCUUAUGACCUGGGCUACAAACGUGAUACAAUGGCUGUUACAAAGGGUAGCUGAAGCGCAAGUUUUUGGCGAAUCUCAAAAAAACAGUCUCAGUUCGGAUUGAAGUCUGCAAUUCGACUUCAUGAAGUUGGAAUCGCUAGUAAUCGCGAAUCAGCAUGUCGCGGUGAAUACGUUCGCGGGGUUUGUACACACCGCCCGUCA